AAAUUUCUGCCCUAUCAACUUUCGAUGGUAGGAUAGUGGCCUACCAUGGUGGCAACGGGUAACGGGGAAUUAGGGUUCGAUUCCGGAGAGGGAGCCUGAGAAACGGCUACCACAUCCAAGGAAGGCAGCAGGCGCGCAAAUUACCCAAUCCCGACACGGGGAGGUAGUGACAAUAAAUACUGAUACGGGGCUCUUUUGGGUCUCGUAAUUGGAAUGAGUACAAUCUAAAUCCCUUAACGAGGAACAAUUGGAGGGCAAGUCUGGUGCCAGCAGCCGCGGUAAUUCCAGCUCCAAUAGCGUAUAUUAAAGUUGUUGCAGUUAAAAAGCUCGUAGUUGAACCUUGGGUCUGGCUGGCCGGUCCGCCUCACCGCGAGUACUGGUCCGGCUGGACCUUUCCUUCUGGGGAAUCCCAUGGCCUUCACUGGCUGUGGGUGGAACCAGGACUUUUACUGUGAAAAAAUUAGAGUGUUCAAAGCAGGCCUUUGCUCGAAUACAUUAGCAUGGAAUAAUAGAAUAGGACGUGCGGUUCUA
This 531-nucleotide ribosomal RNA is filed under the name Trichocomaceae sp. nPF-60. RNAcentral describes it as "SSU rRNA". It matches the Rfam family "Eukaryotic small subunit ribosomal RNA", at positions 301 to 839 of the family's 1831-position model. Lineage: Eukaryota; Fungi; Ascomycota; Eurotiomycetes; Eurotiales; Trichocomaceae. The record is from RNAcentral.